Non-coding RNA from Macaca mulatta (Rhesus monkey), 3331 nucleotides. NCBI's taxonomy places the organism in Eukaryota, Metazoa, Chordata, Mammalia, Primates, Cercopithecidae. The record is from RefSeq and is a predicted model, not a curated record.
GCUGGAGGCCAUUAUCCUAAGCCAAUUAAUGCAGGAACAGAACCAAAUACUGCAUGCUCUCACUUGUAAGUGAGAUAAACCUUGGGUACAAGUGGACAUAAAGAUAGGAACAGUAGACACUGGAGACUUCAAAAGAAACGGGAAGGUGAGAGGGGCAAGGGCUGAAAAGCUUUCUAUAUGCUACUAUGUUCACUGUCUGGGUGAUGGGAUCCACAGAAGCCCAAACCUCAGCAUCAUCCAAUAUACCCUUGUAACAAACCUGCAUGUAGAUCCCCAAAUCUAAAAUUAAAAUUAAGUGAAAAAGAAAAUAUGGGCUACGAACAGCUGCAGGGCAUCAGGGCAUUGCCUUAUCCUGAGGACCAUGGCAGGGGGUGGAGGUUGGCAGCGUUCUGAAGUAUUUUCAGCAGGAGGUGCAGAAUUAGGUGCAAGUUUAGGUGGAGAAGGGGUUUCAGGGGCUAUCCAGUGGUGUGGGCAGAGAGUCUGACAGGGGGGACUGCAGUGGCUCUGGCCAGAGGUGGUGGUGCCUAAGUGCGAGCUGUGGCAGUGGCCACAGGGCUGGGGAGCUGUAGGUGGAGUUGGGCAGACCAAGGCCUCUCUCCUCUGGCCAUGGAGCUCCAGAGUCCGCACAGAUGUCUACGGAUCUAGCUCGAAGCCCUCCCGGUCAGCCAGCUCCCUCUCUUUGGCCCCCAUUUGCAAGGUAGAGAAAGUUCGAGCGCGGUGCUCAGGAUGGAAGCAGACUUCUAGGUAACGUUUGGCACUUUGUUUUCCUCCUUCUCAUCUCUGUCUUCUCUGCCACCAAGGUUGACACUAGUGGCCUGGUAACCACAGAGCACAGUCGGCUCCUAUAGAACUCACAGUGUCUCCUGAAGACCCCAAACCUUCUCCAUGCUGUCUGUUUCAAGCCCACAUUCCCUCUGCCCCCACUGUGGAGCUCGGCAGUUGGUAUCUAGUGCUUAGUAACAGGAACCCACGUUUAUGAUUAUUCUUUACAUUAUCCCCAUGAGAUUCAAUUUUCUUCAAUUCAAGUCCUCCCACCUGCACCGCUUUCUCCUUUAAAGCAGGAGCCCUGGCUCCGAAGCCUCAAGGCUUGGCCUCUGGAUUGAUUUGUGACUUUCAACCUUAGUUCCAUCUGCUUAUAAAAACAUAAGUCAUGCCCUUUUUCACUCCAAAAAGUUUUCCCUAGAAGUUGCUGCCUGGGAUAUUUUUCAUUCCAUCUUGAGGGGUAACACUGCUAGUUGUGUGGAGCAGUGAGGCAGCUGGGGCCGUCUCUGUCCAUCUUCCAGCAGCCCCCAGGGGACCUCAGGCUGCCUCUUGGGGCCCACUGGGCAAACUCAGGGAAAGACAGAGUCGGCCUGGCCCACUAUCCUGAAGUGCCUCCACCUGGGCCUGCGCAGCUGCCAGCUGGCUUGAGGCAUGGUGGACCCGCUCUUUUCUGGGACCUCCGAAAGACCACGUGAGUGCGAUAGGAGUGUGUGUGUGUGUGAAGUGGGGGUCAGGUUAUUAGGGGUGGAGGGAACGGAGCUGUUUGAUUAAUGGGUGUCCUGUGAACCUGCACAUUUGCCCAAGGCUGCAUUCCUGGGCUUUCAAACCCGGGCAGUUUGAUAAGCUGGGACCAAAGUCCUCUUUCCACCCAGCAAGAAGAGCAAACAGGGCCACUCACUAAUCCCAGCCCUGGCCUCCGGGGCCGUCUCUCGGCAACCAGCUAGCCAAGUGGCCUUUCACAAGCUAAUCAAUGAGCAUCCCUGGGACCUCUGGGAGACCUGGCCAGCUUGCCUCAGUGGGGCAGGAGGGAGGCCAGGCUCACCCGACCUCCAGCAUGCAGUCUGAAGGCCUGUGCUUAGCCAGCUAGGCCCUCCAUGAUGGAAGCACCUGCUGUCUCCCCUGUUCCUUCCUGCAAUCAUUCCCACCAGGGCAGCUUAUCAGCCAGGCCUUCUCCGUUCCUCCAGUGCCCGACUAGAAUGCUCUUCUCAACUUCCAUAGCUCCUUCCCUAAUCUCCCUCCCCCGGGAAGCUUUCCCUUACCAGCCUCCGGGGGACGCCCCCUUCCCUGCAUCCCUACUACCCCGGAGCCCUGGAUUAUGGUUUAGCACCGGACACUUCUUCAUUCUGUUCCUGUGUGUUGGUUUGGUAUUGCCAACUAGAUUGUAAGCACCUUGAGGGUAGGACUUCAAUUUUGGGAUCGUCCCCAGUUGGGGGCACACUAGUAACUUUGGAAGGAUAAUAUUGGUGAGGGGUGGGCUUGUGGGAACAGGACACAGAUCCAGGGGUAGAGGCAGGCAGCUCUGAGGCCGGGGACCUCAAUCCCAGUAAGAUGUGGAGGGGAGGCUCUGGGAGAUAAAAGGCAGCCGUGGAGUCAGGACUGGGGAAAUGUUUAUUUCUGGGGAGUCACAGCAGGUACAUGGGGGUGUGGGCCCAGCCUGUCUCCAUCCUCCACUCUAGCCUCUGAGAACUGCUUCUCUCCUUGGUGGGGCCCAAGCGAUGGAACUGCAUCUGUGUCUGCACCACUGGCUCCUUGUUCUUGACUACAGAUGAUUUGGGUUGGGAUGGACCCCGGAAGGCCCUCCAGAUUCUCUUCUCUGGAGACUUGGGCUUAGAACUGAGAGAGACACAUCUCCAUCUCUGGGUGUUUGCCUCUGACAAGAUGCAACCAGCUAUGGGCUGUCUGCAGUGAGGAGCAGUGGGAAUCAGAUCGCAAGACAGAAGGAGGAGGCAGAGAUGCACAGAGGAGCUGAGACCAGAAACUCAUAGCCCAGCUUGCAGAUACUUUCGCUUCAUAUAUCAUCUAAACCAACCCUCACUGCCUUCCUAAGAGACACGGAGAACAGGAGCACUGGGCUGGGCACAGGAGUGGGGCCUCUACGGACAGUGGUUUCAGCAAGAGAAGCCUCCUCCUGAAGCAGCCCCGGGAGCCGUCCUCUGGGGAAGCAGAUGGUCCAGGAAGCAAGAGGAGGGAACAGAGCCUCGUACACAGAUGAACAUAACCGGCCAGCCAAGCUUCACUUCCGCUUCAAGCUGAUCUCCCACUUGUGUCUUCUUGUCUCUAUUGAACUAAGUUCCUGAGACCUAAUCCUUCCCAUCACUAGUAUCAGUGCUUUUAUUUUUGUUUUCUACUUAGUUGGAUAACAUAGUGAAGGAAAAUGUGCUAAUAUAAUAGAAAUAAUUGCAUUAAUAAGCCUGGUAAAGCGUCAGAGGCAGUGAGAGCCAUGGCCAGAGCCAAGCUGCUGGCAGCUAGGCAGCACCACCAUACAAAAGCUCAAAAAUUUCUUUCAAGAAAUGCCAUACGGCUGGGUGCAGUGGCUCAUGCCUGUAAUCCCAACACUUUGGGAGGCCUA